RNAcentral lists this ribosomal RNA (253 nucleotides) under uncultured bacterium. Its description in RNAcentral is "partial 16S ribosomal RNA". It matches the Rfam family "Bacterial small subunit ribosomal RNA", at positions 524 to 776 of the family's 1533-position model. The record is from RNAcentral.
UACGUAGGGUGCAAGCGUUGUCCGGAAUUAUUGGGCGUAAAGAGCUCGUAGGCGGUCUGUCGCGUCUGCUGUGAAAACUCGGGGCUUAACCCCGGGCCUGCAGUGGGUACGGGCAGACUAGAGUGCGGUAGGGGAGACCGGAAUUCCUGGUGUAGCGGUGAAAUGCGCAGAUAUCAGGAGGAACACCGGUGGCGAAGGCGGGUCUCUGGGCCGUAACUGACGCUGAGGAGCGAAAGCGUGGGGAGCGAACAGG